Molecule: ribosomal RNA, 488 nt
Filed under: uncultured Lachnospiraceae bacterium
Lineage: Bacteria; Bacillati; Bacillota; Clostridia; Lachnospirales; Lachnospiraceae
Description: bacterial SSU rRNA
Rfam family: Bacterial small subunit ribosomal RNA
Source: RNAcentral
CAGAAACUACAAAGGAAUUGACGGGGGCCCGCACAAGCAGCGGAGCAUGUGGUUUAAUUCGAAGCAACGCGAAGAACCUUACCAAGACUUGACAUCCCCUGACAGCUGUUGAAAGGCAGUGUCUCUUCGGAGCAGGGAGACAGGUGGUGCAUGGUUGUCGUCAGCUCGUGUCGUGAGAUGUUGGGUUAAGUCCCGCAACGAGCGCAACCCUUAUCCUUAGUUACCAGCACGUAAAGGUGGGGACUCUAGGGAGACCGCCGGGGACGACUCGGAGGAAGGUGGGGACGACGUCAAAUCAUCAUGCCCCUUAUGUCUUGGGCUACACACGUGCUACAAUGGCCGCAACAGAGGGAAGCGAGAGCGCAAGCUGGAGCAAAACCCUAAAAAGCGGUCCCAGUUCGGAUUGUGGGCUGCAACCCGCCCACAUGAAGUCGGAGUUGCUAGUAAUCGCGAAUCAGCAUGUCGCGGUGAAUGCGUUCCCGGGCCUU